GGAGUAGCUAUCUCUGAGACUUAUUUACCAGUAUUUAGCGGUAGAAAGGAGUAGCUAUCUCUGAGGCUUAUUUACAAUUGUUAGUUAUUGGACUGACUAAAGAUGAGCACCAUGUAUUUGUAACAGACUUUAAGAUCCAAACACGGUGUAUGGAGUAUUGUUUUAGGAUUCUCAUAAAGACAAUAGAAACCAAACUGAUCAUACUGGACAUCAUCAUGAAUCAAUGUCUAUAUGUUAUGAACCUAUCUAUUCUGUGUAGAUACAGUCCCACCCUCUCCUUCACUGGCCAAUCCUGCAGCUUGCUGUCCACCUACAACUGCCACAAACAACCAAUCAGCAACUACUCUGUCGCCAAGCAACAACCAGUCUACAUUGGUGGUACCUGUCUCCACCUGUCUCCAUUAGUGGUACCUGUCUCCACCUGUCUCCAUUAG
RNAcentral lists this long non-coding RNA (434 nucleotides) under Salmo trutta (river trout). RNAcentral describes it as "lncRNA (ENSSTUG00000007437.1)". The record is from RNAcentral. Lineage: Eukaryota; Metazoa; Chordata; Actinopteri; Salmoniformes; Salmonidae.